RNAcentral lists this ribosomal RNA (640 nucleotides) under Leucocoprinus sp. Its description in RNAcentral is "LSU rRNA". It matches the Rfam family "Eukaryotic large subunit ribosomal RNA", at positions 40 to 658 of the family's 3401-position model. Lineage: Eukaryota; Fungi; Basidiomycota; Agaricomycetes; Agaricales; Agaricaceae. The record is from RNAcentral.
AUAUCAAUAAGCGGAGGAAAAGAAACUAACAAGGAUUCCCGUAGUAACUGCGAGUGAAGUGGGAAGAGCUCAAAUUUGGAAUCUGGCGGUUCUGGCCGUCCGAGUUGUAAUCUAGAGAAGUGUUACCUGCGCUGGACCGUGUACAAGUCUCCUGGAACGGAGCGUCAUAGAGGGUGAGAAUCCCGUCUCUGACACGGACUACCAGGGCUUUGUGGUAUGCUCUCAAAGAGUCGAGUUGUUUGGGAAUGCAGCUCAAAAUGGGUGGUAAACUCCAUCUAAAGCUAAAUACUGGCGAGAGACCGAUAGUGAACAAGUACCGUGAGGGAAAGAUGAAAAGAACUUUGGAAAGAGAGUUAAACAGUACGUGAAAUUGCUGAAAGGGAAACGCUUGAAGUCAGUCGCGUUGGCUGGGGAUCAGCUUCACAAACAAGUGCGGUGUAUUUCCUGGUUGACGGGUCAGCAUCAAUUUUGACUGCUGGAGAAAGGCUUGAGGAAUGUAGCAGCCCCGGCUGUGUUAUAGCCUCUUGUCAGAUACAGUGGUUGGGAUUGAGGUGUGCAGCACGCCGCGAGGCCGGGGCUUAAAUAGCCCACGUUCGUGCUUAGGAUGUUGACAUAAUGGCUUUAAGCGACCCGUCUUGAA